GUGAAACGGGCCGUCCCCAUACCCCGUCCGGUAUGGGUGCCAAAACACAUAAGAUCUCUAUACCCCGUCCAGUAUGGAAGAUCAUAAUCCCGGUAGGGUUCCCUACAGACCCGGUCCGUCCACCAUCUCCCAGGAUAUCUAGUCAGGCUGACCACAUUACCCAUUUACAUAAUCUUUCAUUCUCUUUUUUCCUCAGUCAGCAUCAUUAAUCCACAUACAAACAAGCAAAACGGUAAUUUAUGCCAAACAGACAACAUGCAGCAUCAAUAUCCCAGUCAUUCGAUUCAUAAUCAAUAAAACAGUAAAAUAUGCAUACGAACUAUUAAAUGAAAACAUCAAACCUCAUACUGCAUUUAAAACUGUAAAACAGGGCAAAUAACAGUUAACCGACAAACACACUAGACUCGAGCUCCAUUAGCGACCUUAAGCAAUUUCACACAUUCGUUGAUUCAAGAAAUACCGUUUUAUCAUUAUUGAACUUUAAUACCGUGAUAGAAAAUAGGGUGAGGGGUCCUUACACGUUUCGGGGUCCGAACACGGCUUCACAGUGCGCCUACAGGCUGUCCCUAAUUUUUCCUGAAUUUUUCUCGGGGAACUGAAACGCAUUACUGGUACCUGCACGUGUUCCAAAAAAUCCCAAAUUAGGCCCAGGGCCCCUUUCGGCCAAUAUCGCAACUCCGGCACGGCGGCGGUUCGCCUCGGGUUAGCCGUUUUCGGCCACACUCACAUUGGUUCCUGCGAUAAAACAACCCUACGACCAUCGGGGGGCCGAAAAUUUACGGAAAACCGAAGUUUACCGGCGGCGGUGCUCUCGGGUGCGGCGGCUCUCCGGUGAAGUUCGUGUUUUGGUGAUUCGGCUCCGAUCAACAUGUAGAGAAAAGAAUGGUGAUCACGGUGAUAUAAAAAUUGCAUUAAACGGAGGUCGGGAAGGG
RNAcentral lists this long non-coding RNA (932 nucleotides) under Carica papaya (papaya). RNAcentral's name for it is "long non-coding RNA (CPAP_LNC001787)". Lineage: Eukaryota; Viridiplantae; Streptophyta; Magnoliopsida; Brassicales; Caricaceae. The record is from RNAcentral.